This 253-nucleotide ribosomal RNA is filed under the name uncultured bacterium. RNAcentral describes it as "partial 16S ribosomal RNA". It matches the Rfam family "Bacterial small subunit ribosomal RNA", at positions 524 to 776 of the family's 1533-position model. The record is from RNAcentral.
UACGGAGGAUGCAAGCGUUAUCCGGAAUGAUUGGGCGUAAAGCGUCCGCAGGUGGCUGUGUAAGUCUGCUGUUAAAGAGUGAGGCUCAACCUCAUAAAGGCAGUGGAAACUACAUGGCUAGAGUGCGUUCGGGGCAGAGGGAAUUCCUGGUGUAGCGGUGAAAUGCGUAGAUAUCUGGAGGAACACCGGUGGCGAAGGCGGCAUCCUGGACCAUGACUGACGCUGAGGAGCGAAAGCCAGGGGAGCAAACGGG